Molecule: long non-coding RNA, 546 nt
Filed under: Homo sapiens (human)
Lineage: Eukaryota; Metazoa; Chordata; Mammalia; Primates; Hominidae
Description: non-protein coding lnc-TUT1-1:2
Source: RNAcentral
AUCACACUUAGAUACACCAAGCAGCUCUGUGAAUGAGAUCUCUCUACCCCCACCCUCAAUCUCCUUGCUUCCAGACUGACUCUCACCUUAUUUACUUUCACAGGAGAGGGGGAACAGGUGGAAGUCGAUGGCUGGGACUGCAGUUUCCCCAGGGAUGCCUCAAGACUGGAGCCCAGCAUAAAUGUGGAGCCCCUCAUUCGCACAGCUCGAGGGGAGUGCGGGGGCAGCACCGCGCGUGGCACCUGGCACCCGCGCAGAGUUCCUGAAUGGCAGAGCGGUGGGUGGCUCCAGCAGUACUGAGAAGAGCCAGGUUUGCCUCCACAUUCUUCCUGUCGCCUCAGAUUUAUGCGCACAAGGACGGAGAUUUGCGUUCAGCGUUCUUCAUUCUCUCCUUUAAACGAGGAGAGUUCAUCCCGUUCUUAAACUGGCGCCACUGGAUACCGAACUGUCGUACGUAUGUCUUCUGUUUCGUCCUCGCUUUCCGGCUGCUGUUUCUCCACGGCUCUCCUCUUUCCCCCUCCCUUCUCUCCCGGGCGGCUUACUUUG